CCAUAACUGAGCGAUCCUGCAGAAUACCUUUGGUUGAAGUCUCCAAUACCCCAAGUCCCUCAGGUAUCGGGAGUUCCAGUACGCGGUGGAAUUGUCCAAUCCCGGUAUGUGUUCCGCGGUAACCGACAUGUUGUUCUGCAAACAAUAAUGUAACGGAUCGCCUGGCACCCCGACUGGGUACCUCCGUUGAAGGAUGCUCCUAGCGCUUCCUGAGGACUCCAAGC
Molecule: non-coding RNA, 224 nt
Organism: Pelobates cultripes (western spadefoot toad)
Lineage: Eukaryota; Metazoa; Chordata; Amphibia; Anura; Pelobatidae
Source: the annotation of a GenBank genome assembly